ACCUUGUUAUCUCAGAUUCUCCAGUAUCUGCAGUUCCUACUAUCUCUCAAAGACAAGAAUGUUGCCAUCAAGCUGUGGCUGACACCUAAAGGCCAUUUCAAGAAGCUACCAGAACAUAAGAAUUAACUGAGCUUCAUAAAGAAGUCACUGUUUGCAAAAAGCAAAAUGCAGCAGAUGAGGUACAAUUAAACAAAUUCUUUGUUCAGAGAAAGGACAGCUUGACACAACAUAACACACAACUUACUAGGAAAAUUGGAAGAAAAAGAGGCUAACUAGCCAUAAUAGCCUUUAACCUGAGCUGGCAACACACAGCUUCCAAAGUCAGUAGAAGCAAUCUUAUUGGAAUGAAAACAAAAAGAUGUUAGGUUGAGAUCUGUACAAAAUAAAUUACUGUGUGUUAUUUUUGCAGCUUGUUUAUGUAGUCUUUGCAAUUACAACCGUCAUGGCAUUUUGUAUGUAAAUUUGUAGUAAUGGAUAUUGUCAUGUAAUCAGAAAAUGAAUGAGAUAUGCAAAAUUAUGGUGGUUACUUACGUGGAUUAUUAUCCCCUUAAAGUAAUGAAUAAUAUGGAUGUGUACUCAUCUGUGCCACAUGGAGUUUUAAAUGUCCUUGCUAGUGAAAGCCUAGGAUAUAGUGUGAAUGUAGGUUGCAUGGAUUAAAGGACUUUUCCAUGUUUUUAACA
Long non-coding RNA from Rhincodon typus (whale shark), 680 nucleotides. RefSeq lists it as uncharacterized. The record is from RefSeq and is a predicted model, not a curated record. NCBI's taxonomy places the organism in Eukaryota, Metazoa, Chordata, Chondrichthyes, Orectolobiformes, Rhincodontidae. The transcript has 2 exons.